This is an RNA transcript of Sinocyclocheilus grahami, 3170 nucleotides long. It is a transcript of the gene named YTH domain-containing family protein 1-like, with no coding region annotated. The record is from RefSeq and is a predicted model, not a curated record. Lineage: Eukaryota; Metazoa; Chordata; Actinopteri; Cypriniformes; Cyprinidae. The transcript has 7 exons.
UUUUUUCCAAUUUUCUCAGUUUGAUCACCUCCGCGUGGCCACCCGGUCCAUGUGGCGUCAGUCCCUCCGCGCAGAUCCCGGAUGGAGCGGCCAUUGGGCGGAAGUGAACAGAGGUGCACAAUAACUGCGGGCUGGGAAGAGGAAAAAAAAUAUUUAUACACUUUGAAAUAAAUUUACACUCGGCGUGUGACAACAUUGGAUUAAACCCCAAAACCGCAGAGCCUCUGACCCUCUCAGAAACAUCCUCAGGCUGGACUUUUAGUGCGCUCGAGAGGACCGGAUCGCCGAAAUCAAGUCGUGGAACUUGCUGAAAAAAAGCGCAGUUCACCCUGCACGGAGCCGCGAGGAACCCACGGGCUUCGGGUUACGCCGAGCACCCUCGCUGUUGCUUCUUUUUUCUUUGCAAGACUCUUGCUGAACCUAAAGAGGCCCUCUUGAUGAAUUAUGUCUACCACCAGUAUUGACCCACAGACAUCCAAAGGGCAAGACGCUAAAGUGCAAAAUGGCUCUCUUCAUCAGAAGGAAACGGUCCAUGACAAUGACUUUGAACCAUACCUCACUGGCCAGUCUAAUCCGAAUAACAGUUACCAAUCAAUGACCGACCCAUACCUGUCUAGCUACUAUGCCCCCUCGAUUGGAUUCCCGUACCCCCUCAGCGAGGCCCCCUGGUCCACUGGCGGAGAUCCGCCAAUCCCGUACCUCACUCCUUACGCCCCCCUCAGCAAUGGGGAUCAUCACUUCAUGCAUGACACUGUGUUCGGACAGCCAGGGGGUCUGGGCAGUAGCAUCUAUCCACACCGCUUUAACUUUUUCCCUGAAAACCCAGCAUUUUCUGCCUGGGGUACAAGCGGCUCCCAGGGCCAGCAGACUCAGAGUUCUGCAUACGGGGGCAGUUACAGUUACCCGCCCAGUUCAUUAGGUGGCACCCUGGUACCUGACGGGCAAACGGGCUUCCCAAGCGACACCCUGAAUAAGGCGCCAGGUAUGAAUAGCUUAGAGCAGGGCAUGGUAGGGUUGAAGAUUGGCGGUGAUAUGACUGGAGGUGGUUCCGGAGUGAAGACGGUGGGCUCUGUGAUCGGUGGAGGGCCGGUAGCCACGGGUAACGGCGGGACUCCAAUCGGGAUGCCGCCUCCCAAACCCACGUCCUGGGCGGCCAUUGCGAGCAAACCGGCCAAGCCUCAGCAACUGAAAGUCAAGAGCAAGCCGGGGAUGCCCAUGGCUGGAGGCACACUGCCCCCACCACCCAUCAAACACAACAUGGAUAUUGGCACCUGGGAUAAUAAGGGGCCUGUGACUAAAGUGGCCUCACCACUGCCGCCCCACCACCACCAGCAGCAGCCUCUGCUCCACUCCCAGGGUCACCUACCGCCUCACCAUCACGGGCUCCCGCCUCCACCUCAGCCCCCUAUACCGUCUGCCCAAUCACUUGCUCAGCAGAUGGCGAUGCAAGGUCCGCCCCCUCCACAGCCUUACCAGAACCACACCCCUGCUCCUCCCCCUCAAACCCGGUGGGUUGCCCCACGUAACCGCAACCCUGGUUAUGGUGGGGGCGGCAGCGUGGACAGCAGUGGCUCGUCGAGCGGCGGAGGGGUCGGCAACGGUGGUGGCGGCGGACCUCCGGGUUCCGGUGCUAUCGAAUCCCACCCGGUCCUUGAAAAGUUGCGUGCGGCGCACAGCUACAAUCCCAAGGACUUUGAUUGGAACCUGAAAAAUGGCCGGGUUUUCAUCAUUAAGAGCUACUCGGAGGACGACAUCCACCGCUCCAUCAAGUACUCCAUCUGGUGCAGCACGGAACACGGUAACAAGCGGCUGGAUUCGGCCUUUCGCGUCAUCAACGGCAAGGGUCCUGUCUAUCUGCUGUUCAGUGUCAAUGGCAGCGGACACUUCUGCGGCGUGGCAGAGAUGCGCUCACCUGUAGACUACGGCACCAGUGCCGGCGUUUGGGCACAGGACAAGUGGAAGGGCAAAUUCGAUGUGGACUGGCUGUUUGUUAAAGACGUGCCCAACAGCCAGCUCAGGCACAUCCGCCUAGAGAACAAUGACAACAAGCCCGUGACCAACUCCCGUGACACGCAGGAGGUGCCUCUGGAGAAGGCCAAGCAGGUGCUGAAGAUCAUCGCCACCUACAAACACACCACCUCCAUCUUCGAUGACUUCUCACACUACGAGAAACGGCAGGAGGAGGAAGAGGUGGUAAGAAAGAACCUAGAGCCUGCUCCUCUCCAAAACCGAUCCCGACUUGAUCAAGAACGCCAGAACCGAAAUAAACAAUAGAAGGCUGCCCCCUACAUAUGAUGAGCAGUUGUUUUAGGACUGACCAUUUGAAGAUUAAAUUUAAAGAGGACACAAGAUGAAAUAUAAAAAAAUAAACAAUCAUUAUGUUUUUCUAUUUAAUUCUGGUGACUUCAGCCAGCAUCAGACUCGAGCCUCUGCGCCUCCGGCUUCACCUGUGGGGGCUGAAGUCGAUUAGCACCUCUCAACGUCGCGUCAUCAUUUUGAUUUCUUUUUUUUCUUUCUCUUCUUUUCUGUCGUUUGGUAUUGUUUUCAUACACCUCCCUCCCCCCUUUGACCAACUGAUAUCUGCACAAGUCUUUUAUUUCGUCCUAUAUUUUUGUUUCUUCAGCCCCACUGCUCCUCAUCAUGCCCUUCAGAGUUGGUUAAAUGAGUGGGUAGUGAAUUCUGUGAUGUAUGUGUGUGUAUCAGGAGGGAUGAUGGUGGAGUGUAUGUUAGUCAUGUGAUAUGGCAGAGGUAAGGGAGUGGGGGGUGUUCAGACUCGAUCUGGUUUGGGGGGCAUCUCCAGCAUCAGUAGCUGUAAUGGGCCAGUUUUACGUUCUGUAGAUCCAGAGUGGUUUGAACCCAUUUGUGGAGAAUUGUGCAACUGCAUAGAAGGGACAAUGACAUGUCUUGACAAGAUAAUGUUAUAAAAAAAAUAAUAUUUUUGAAUUAUGUAACACUUGACAUUUUGUUCAGUGACAAGCCACUUAUGUCACAGGUUUUGUUUUUUCUUUUCUGUUUUUCCUGCUUGGAGCCUUAAGAUUUUAAGCUACGGAAACCGCUUAAUAAUGGCUGUUCUAUACCUCAAUUGAAACAGCGUUAUCAGGGAGACGACAUCCCAUGCAUCCUUAACCAAGGGAAGUCAACAUAGUCACUGGCUAGACUAAAAAAAAAAA